UACGUAGGGCGCAAGCGUUAUCCGGAAUUAUUGGGCGUAAAGAGCUCGUAGGCGGUUUGUCGCGUCUGCCGUGAAAGUCCGGGGCUCAACUCCGGAUCUGCGGUGGGUACGGGCAGACUAGAGUGAUGUAGGGGAGACUGGAAUUCCUGGUGUAGCGGUGAAAUGCGCAGAUAUCGCUUGGAACGCCGAAGGUGAAAACAGGUUGCUGGGAGUGCGCCGACGCUGAGACACGAAAGCCAGGGGAGCGAACGGG
RNAcentral lists this ribosomal RNA (253 nucleotides) under uncultured bacterium. Its description in RNAcentral is "partial 16S ribosomal RNA". It matches the Rfam family "Bacterial small subunit ribosomal RNA", at positions 524 to 776 of the family's 1533-position model. The record is from RNAcentral.